This 13750-nucleotide long non-coding RNA is filed under the name Lynx pardinus (Iberian lynx). Lineage: Eukaryota; Metazoa; Chordata; Mammalia; Carnivora; Felidae. The record is from RNAcentral.
AGGCGGCAGCCAGGAUCCGCUCCGUCACGUAAGUGAGGUCCAAGUCCCAGCGGCGCUCCAUAAGCGGGUCCAGGCUGAAGCUCCUGGGGAGGGGGCAAAGCCUGCGUCAGGCACGAGGGCGAGGCUCCGGGGGCAGAUGGGAGGGGAGGGCGAGGCCUCGGGGUCCCGAGGGUAGGUGGGGCCGCUCGGGGGCGGGGUGGGGGGCUGCCUAGGAGAGCUUUGCCGGGACGGGGGGGUGCGGCGCUGCGCCGGGCUGAGGUAUGGGACCACCCCGGCGCCCUCACUUACCUGGGCAGAGUGUUGCGCUGCUUUGAGUGGUUUAGAGACUUGGUGGAUCCCUGGUGGAUGAGAUGAGACGGUGCACAUCUCUUUGGGUGCCCCCCACUCUAGGCUCCCCGCUCCAGAGUCCCGUGAACUUUCGUUCUCGCAAGAUACCUAGGUCCGUACUCCCAGAGCUACCUGCUUCCGCCCCCUCCGCCAGCAUCACUUACCAGGUGCUCUAUGCGCCUCACGGGGGCCGUGUUUCUCCGCUAGAGGGAGACGGAGGCGGAAAAGGGGGCGGUUAGGGCGGGGGUAGGGACCAGUCUGCGCCUGGGGAUGGUGGAGAGGGCACGCGGGGCUUCCUGUGGGGGCUGCACCGGGCCAAGGGAGAGGAGUCCUAACCCCCAGCAGGCCCAAGGGCAAGAAGAUCAGAGGGCUCAUUUUUUUCCUGUCCCUCAGGAUGACCGGCACCCACAGCAGUCCAUUCAAGCUAACCUCCUGGGGGCCCUCUCUGUGGCCACCAGACCUUUGGACACCUCAGCCAGGUUCCUUGCCACUCCCACCCCAUCUCAGAGCACACUCACCAGCUCCGCCGGAGGCAAAGCCUGACAGGACGAAGUCACCUGGAAGGAGACCCGAGUGAGGGGCUGAGCUCCUGCUGAAAUGGGGUCUCCUGGGCUUGACGAUGGGGCUACCCCUCAGCUUCAGCAAGAAGGUGGAGGGGCUGUCAGCAGAUGGGCACACACUCCAGCUGAGGUUCCUCUAUUUAAGGGAGCCUCCCCUCUGGCCUCUCUGGUCCCCCACCCCUAGGCCCCCCACUUGUUGCUCUUGGCUCCCAGCCCCCUGCCCACACAGACCCCCAUUCAUCCAGCUGCGGGGCAGGAGUUAUAUAUAGAGCCAUGUAGGCAGGCCAUGGCCAGGGACGGACACUGGCCUCUUUCACCGGGAGACCCCGCCCCUGGGCACACAGCUCCCCCAGGCCAACUCCAAGGCCCUGGGACCCCCCGCACUGCAGGAGGAGGACGAGGGAACCUCCUCAGAGAUGGGGCUGCCUCAGGUCCCCAGUGGACAGUGGUGCUAUCUACAGCUUGUACCUUCCGCCCGGCCUUUCCAGGGCCCAGGACGAGACCCACCCAGGCAUCCUGAGGACCCUUCCCCAGAGGGAAGGCACAGCCCAUCCGGCUACCCAGUCUUUGAAAUCCUGCUCCCCCACCCACCCACCCCACCCUUCCUCGUCCUCAUUCUCCUCCUCUUCCCCACCCCCAUCCUCUCGCCAGCUGCAGCCUGGGCACAGCACCAAGACAAACCCUGUCUCCUGUCCACCCGCCUGGGCCAGCCCUCCAGGGGGUGGAGUAGGGUGGUUCUUAAAGGGCCCAGUACAGCACCCUCUCCCACUCCGGCAGGGGUUCCCCCAUGAUGAGAGGGGCUGCGGUUGAUGCCGAUGUGGCUGGAGAAGCCUGUUUCAGAGGAAGAGACUCUAGUCCUCCUCCCCCAGUCAAGUACCCACCUUUGCUUCACAUUUUCUGUGUGUUGCCACCUUGCAAACUAGAGAGGGAUGGUGGGGAGAAGAGAGGGGUUAGCAGGCACAUACUGGGGUAGCCCUCCCCCAUCUCCCCAGGCCCUGGAACCAGAUCCUGGGACUUCCAAGACUGUUGAGAUGGAAUGGGGGAGCAGGGGCAGAGUUCAAGGGAAGUGUCAGGCAGUGGGGUAGUACGCUCAGUCCAGGGAGGGAGGGGGCAAGGGCUAAUGUUCCAGGGUGACUGGGGGUGAGGGGGGAGGGAGGGAAGUCCCCAUCACAGGUCCACUGGGGAGGCAAUGGAGAGGACUGGGUCUCCUUGGUUGGGGCGGGAGUGUCCGUCAUGGGGACAAGGGCUGUUUGGAGGGGAGGCAGCUCCCCGUGACGGAUACCCUCUUGGUUCCCAUGCUGUCCAGGGGGCAGCGUGCACAUUACGGUUUAAACUCUUUGUGAGUCUACCCGCUGGAGUUGUGCACACAAUGGUGCUGGGUUAGAGGCUCUCAGGGUCACAGGACAGGCACCUCACCUCUGCAUGAGACUCCAGUUCCAUCGAUGGUCACCUUACACACUGCACAGACUGGUGGUUUCUUCCGGAAGACCUUCUCCCGGAAGCUGUGUGGCUCGGCUUUCCUAGGCUAGGAACGGAAGGACACACAGGCAGAAGUGUCAGUUCUCAGUGGACCCAUCUCUGGGACUAGCUGGGGUCUUAGCACUACCCUGGUUUCUUUCUCCUCCAUCCUGAUAAAGCCCCUAAACUCCUAAGACACACUUGGUCACAGCUGUUUCUUGGCUUUUAUGGGGCCUGUCCUUGAUGGUGUGUGGAAUCUGCCCCCUUGCAUCACCCCAGACGGGUCACCCCCUCUCUGAGGGUCACUCGGGACCCUCGUAUGGUGUGUGAAACCCUCGCGGUCACUGCCACACCAGGUGCUAGAGCUUUCCUCCUGAUCUGGGAGGUGGGAGAGUGCUCUCUUACUUUCUUCUAUGAGGGUUCCCCAUUUCUCCUCCCAUUUUGCCUUCCCCAGAUGGAGGUCCCUGUGGAGAGUGAGCAGGAGGGGGUCCAGAAAUGAACGUAGAAUGUCAGUCACGCAGCACCCAGACUGACCUGGCGGGGAGUGGCCUGAGCCAGUCCUACUCCCCUGGCUCCCGCUGUCCCCGUGCUCCAGACAGCUGACAUGCCCUCCUCCCCCUACUGUCAGAACAACAUGUUUACUCAUUGUGCAUUGAGGCGGCAGGCAGCAAUUGUGUAAGGAGGGGGUGGUAAUGCUGGAGAGACAGGCAGACAGAGGCAUGACAUUGGGGGAAAUGUUCAGCUGCCUUGCUACUUCUGGAUAUAGUGAGCACCCUGUCACUUGAGGUUCAAGUGGGAUUCCAGCAUGGAAUGGGGGAAGGGGUGGGCUAGAUGCCCUGUUGGGCCUCUCCCCACCCAGAGUGCAGUGAGGCAGGGAUGCCCCGUUAUGGCCCUCAUCCCCCUCCCUCCCACUGUGGGUUCACUCCACUCAUCUUCUGUCCAUAUGCCUCCUCUCCCUUCUACCCAUUUUUCUCUUCCCUCAAGUGUUCAAGCUCCCCCCCCCCCCCCAUAAUAUUAUCUCAUGUUGCCCUGAGCUACUUCUUUUGGGGUAUGGCUGAUAAAAUAUGGGGAAAUGGAGUCAUAGGCAUCCAGGCCCCCCAUCCUGGGGACCCAGGCAGCACUUUUGGUCUCUUGGCUGUCCCCCAAGAACCUGGAUUAAACCCAACCUGAACUCUUAUGGGCCAGCCUUGCUGGACCCGUUAGGAAACUUGGGUGCAUUCUGACAUUAACGGCAUGCACUGAUGAUGUCAGGGGAAAGUCCCAGUGUCUAAAGCACUUCUGAGACCUGGCUGCCCCUCUCCCUUCGCCACCUCCACCCCAUUUCUCCCAAACUUCUGAGCUCAGGGAAGGGGCCUGAUCUCGGCCCUGCCCUGGGGCUCCCCGGUAGUACCUGGAAAAGUCCUACAAUGAAGUAUACCUGAAUGCAGGUUUAGGGGGCCAGGAUCCCCAGGGUUGGCCUGAAUUAGAGCAGGGAAGUUGGAGGAGGGAAAGUGGACACCAGGUUCUGCUUUAAUCCAAACUUCUGCUGCUCACACCACAGCUCUGGCUAUUCCAAAGGGGCAUACUAGUGAGGGGAUUCGGGGCAAGGGGAAAAGGUUCUGGCCUGAGUCCUGGUCCCCUCCCCCACUGCCCACCCCUCCAUCCCUGCCCCUCCUCUGCCCAGCCAGCGGGCACUCCUACCCUGCUGGUGGCCCGGCUGCUGUCCCUCCUCCCCAGGGCUCUGAGCAGCCUCUCCACGGGGCCGCUGGACUUCAUGAUGUCCGGGCGGCUGGCUGGGGUGCCGACUGCGGGCCUGAACAAUGCUGGGGCCCGGCCCGGGGCUUCCUGGAAGCGGCCUGGCGGAGGCAGCCGCUUCCCCUGGGUGGAGGGUAGGCUGUCUGGCUGGUGUGAGGAGAAGCCCGGCCCUGGAAGUGGAGGGGAGUGCAGGCGGGAAAGGGGCAGGUCGCUGCUCCAGGAAGUGGGGGGGGGGGGGGGAGGGAGGAUGUGGGGGAGGCCAGGAGAUCAGAUUCCCAGGAUCUACCCUGCUGGGAGUGUCAGCCCAGGAUCUUUUGCCCCCCAGCCCCUUGCUGUGGAGCUGCCCCUUGCCCAGGGGAUCCACCCUAUCCAGGGAUCUGCAAGGAUCCUGAGAUCCAGCCCCCAGUGGAGUGGGGUGGGGGCAGGGUGGGAAUUUAGGUCUCCUGCAGGGCUCAAGGGCCAGUGGGGAACACUGUGUCCCAGGCCAGGUCAGGCCAGUCUCCCAGCCUGAACUCUCAGGUUCUCAGGGGACUUCUGGUGGGGAGGAAGGGGGAGCUGGGAAUCACUACCCCAGCCAGCUCAGAAUCGGGGUGCAUCCUGAGGGGCCGGGGAAAAUAGGACUGAGGGCCAGCUUCCUGCCUCAGUUUCACUGGUUGUGAAGUAUAGGAAAAGGAAAGCAUUCACUGCUUCUCUCCUGCCGCCCCCAUACGCACUGGAAGGCCUGCUUCCAGCCACAAGAUUGUUCUGCCCACAGGAGUGAGCCAUUCUCCUGCUCCAGCCCAAGGCAUUUGAGGCUCUUCUCCUGAGAGCACCCCACCCACUCUGCUCCUGACAGUCAUCCCCUCUGUCCCCCCAUUCCAUGGCUUGUUCGUGCUAGAACUCCCAGUCCCUAGCCCCUCUUUCCAGCCCUGCUGUGUAGGCCCUUCACCCAGACCCUAGGGCUGGGCCCUAUGCCCCCUGCCCCCCAAAGCCUGAGUACUACCUUCAUGGCUCUCCUAGCUCUGCUCUCCUUCCUCAGCAGCUGUCCCAGGUCCUAAGGACUGGACAGGGCCCCCCCCCCCCCCCCCCCCCCCCCCCCCCCCNNNNNNNNNNNNNNNNNNNNNNNNNNNNNNNNNNNNNNNNNNNNNNNNNNNNNNNNNNNNNNNNNNNNNNNNNNNNNNNNNNNNNNNNNNNNNNNNNNNNNNNNNNNNGGGGGGGGGGCAGUAAUCUUCCAAAAAUAAAUGGGGUUAAGGGCCAGGGGUCCUCAGCCCCAAGCCUUGGACAGCAGCCCUUUGACCAGCUGGAGCUGUCACUUGAAAGAACGCGCAAAUAUGCCUCCCCUCAUUUGCAUGGUAUUUACUGAAUGUACCGGUGCUCAGCCUUCUCCCACUUGGUCCUUAGACCUCCCUCUCCCUCCUUCAGGCCCAAGGGACUGGUCUAAUCCUGCCUUCUCUGGGAUGAGCCCCCUUAGGAGAGCCCACUCAGGACACUUCUUUGGACUUGCCUGGCAUGGGCCUGGCCUGAGGCUUUGCCCUUGAAGAUUUAAUUCUCCUUCCAAGUCAGGAAGUCUGUCCCCGGGGUACCUUGGCCAGAGGGAAGUAUCUCCGUGGCCAGGCUUGGGCCCCUAGCGUGUAACUGGAGAGGGGGCACUGACUCUGCAACCCACUCCUAUCCCACCAACCCUGGCUGGGUCCCAGGACAUUCCAGGCCCCUGGCCAGUGUGGGCAACUGGGCCUGGCCUGGUCCAGUUCAGAGCCUUGCUGUAGGAGAAGCACUAUGGUGGGUGUGUGGGUUGGGGUGCCUUUUCUCUGCCCCUUCAUGCCCCUUCAGCAUGCUUCUUUCUACACCUGCUGCCUCCACAGGGGCCGAAAAGUCCCCUCACCUGGUAGUUCCUUGGUGGGACUCAUUAACCCGUGUUGGGUGGCCAGGGAAGAAUGCCUUUGAGUCUCUCCCCACUCUGUGGGGGGCACCUCUGUAGUGAGAUGGAGAGGGGGGAAACAGGGUUGAGAGGAAAAGGCUCUCACCAGGGCAGGGCUGGGAAGGCAUGGCCAGACCCCGGUAGGACCCUCACCCUACUCCUGCCUGGAACAUUCCAGAGCCUGUCAGUCUCUCCCCCAGCCUGGCCCCCUCUCACUCCGAAGCCUUGGGUUUGUUUGGAGAAACCCCUCCACCCACACUCCCCCUUCCUGGAAAAUAGCUGUGGUUGGAUGAGAGGCUGGGAGCCCAGCCGCGGAGGAGGGGUGAGGCCCGGAGAAGGAGAGAGGGAGAGGCGGGAUAUAUGAGUGUGCCCUGAGGGAUCUAGAGAAUUGAGGGGAGAAGCAGAAGGGGGGCGGACGAGUGGGGCUGGAAAAGCGAAAUGGGCCUCAGUGUCCCAGAAAUGAAGUAGAAAAAGAAAACCCUCGCGACGCACGCUCCCGGGGCCGGGCCGGCAGCUCCCACCCAGGUCCGGGGCCCCGCGUGUGGGGGCAACGUGCGCCCCGUGGCGGCGAGUGCGCCGGAGACGCGCGAGGGCGGGACGGCCGUGUGACCGUGGGCCCCGCCCCGCCCCCUGCUCCCUUUCCCGGCUUCCCGUGGCCCCCGGCCCCGGCCCCAGUCCCCCACCGCCCCCCACCCCGGCGGCCNNNNNNNNNNNNNNNNNNNNNNNNNNNNNNNNNNNNNNNNNNNNNNNNNNNNNNNNNNNNNNNNNNNNNNNNNNNNNNNNNNNNNNNNNNNNNNNNNNNNNNNNNNNNNNNNNNNNNNNNNNNNNNNNNNNNNNNNNNNNNNNNNNNNNNNNNNNNNNNNNNNNNNNNNNNNNNNNNNNNNNNNNNNNNNNNNNNNNNNNNNNNNNNNNNNNNNNNNNNNNNNNNNNNNNNNNNNNNNNNNNNNNNNNNNNNNNNNNNNNNNNNNNAGGAGGCGGAGGAGGCGGGAGCGGGCGCCGCGCUCGCCUGGGCUCCCUCCCGCGCCCGCCGCGCCCCGCGCCCGCCCUCGCUCCCUCCCGCGCUGCUCUCCUCCCUCCUUCCCGGCUCCAAUCCCCACGUUCCCCCGCUCCCCGCCCCUCGGCCUCCUCCUUCUCCCUCUCGUCGUCCCCACCUUCUCCUGCGGGCCCACGCUCCCCGGGGCGAGGAGGGACGCGGAGACUGGCGGAGGGGCGCUCGGGGACAGGAAGAGACCGGGAUGGGGAGAGUGUGAGGAGGCGGACGCGCAGGACGCAGAGCCGAGAAACUCUCCGAGCCCCGGGGAGACUAACCGGCAGGACAGAGCAAGAAGCAAAACAAAACACAGGAACCAGACAGACGUAGAAGAAAAGCGGCCAUGGGUCCAGAAGGCGUUGGAAACAGCCUCUCAUCCGCCCCCUCCGCGGGGAGUAUUUGGGAUUGAGCCUGACCCCAAAGUCAGGACCCACCUACUCAAGGGGCGCCAGAUUCAGACAAAGAUACCUGCUGCCCCCUGUGUCCCCAGUCGCUGGACACUUCCCUAGUCCUCUGCCACAGGGGAGACGUCUAGGCCACCUCUUGUCUCCAAAGGACUCGAAGCUGAGGACCUCCACAUCAAGUUCAAGCUCCCACCCCCUAAGCAGCUCCAGUCAGCCCAUCAUCCAUCGCUCUGCUUUGGAACUGGACCUGGACCGUCAUUCCCACUCCCUGACUCUGCUUAUAAAGAAAGUCCUCCCUCCUCCUGUAUAACUCAAGUCACAGGUUUCCCAGUGGAGAUGGAAGUUCAUUCAGUCUGUGUUCUCAUCUCAUUCCCUUCUUUUCCAGGGUCGGGAUCUGAUACUGGUUAAAAACUAAUGGGCCCUGGGGGUGAUUUGAGUUGGGUCACCCUGGAGGAGAAGACAGAGGGAAGGGAUGUCUUUUCAGAAACUGAAUCUGCUCCCAUUCUCAGAUUCACCAGUGUUCUCUAGUAUUGAGUACUUCCUGGAACUCCCUCCUGCCCUCCCUCACCCUCCCCACUGAAUUUUCCAUGAUGAAAACUGGUGUGUGUUGGGGGUGUGGAUUCUGAGAAGCCAGUGCCCAGGGCUCAAUGUCCAGUGCCUGCUCAAGGCAGCCAGUACCACCAGCUGCAAAGCCCUCUGUCCCUCCCUGUCUCAGCUCCCAACUGGGUCGUCUCUGCUCAUCUUGCCUUUGGCAAAGGCUGGGAAGUCUGGUUCUGAUUCCAAUCUGGCGGCUGGGGGGAGAGGCACGGUGACAAUGCGGUCCCUCAGAGACUGGCAUUUGGAAGGGGUGGGUGUGGCUGGGACUGGGGAGGCUAGAGCUUACUGCUCUUGGCUGAGUUGGUGUCCAGUAGGUCGUCUCAAUCUCAGAGGUUAGAGCAGUGGGAACUGCUGGGAGCUGGAGGGAGGGCUGGGGGGGUUGGAAUGGGGUGCAGGAGGGAAGAGGUGGGGAGGCACUGGGAGGAGGGGAGAGGCAGGAGUUUUGGGUAAGCCCCAAGGAGAGUGACUGGGAUCAGAGGCUAGCGGGAAGGGGGCAGGGUUGAAGGUCAUUGUGUGUAUUUUGUUAAGAUUUGAUUAUGUAACUGAGACACAUGAGGCAUGAACAUUUGCUCAUUUCUUCGGAGUCUUAGCUAGUUUUUUAAAAAUCGUGUCCUUUCCAGAGUUCAUUAGGGUCUUUGGCUGGGUGCCUGGGAUGCCUGCCCUGCCGAAGGGGGUUAGUAGGUUCUAUUUUUUUUUUUUUUUUUUAAGUAAUCUCUACACCCUGCGUAGGGCUCGAACUCACUACCUUGAGAUCAAGAGUUGCAUGCUCUUCCUACUGAGCUAGCCAGAUACCCCAAGUUCUAAUGUUUAAAGGUACCAAGGAGAGACUGGUGCUCAGAGAAGAGGCACCUGAUUGGAUCUCAGAGAGGUAGGCAGGGCUUCAGCCUCACACUCAUGCUGGUGUGGUUGUCCCUAUGAGGAACUUUUGAGGUUUCAAGGAAUUGGGAGAGUCAUAAGAUGGGCAGCUGAACUUUCAGCUCAGACUUGAUUCCUGCUGUCAACCUGGGGACCAGGGGCUGAGGGGGCUGCAGGAGGGAAGCUGAUGAGGAAGGUUGAGAGUGAAAAAUUAUCCACAGGAGGUGGCUUGCUGGGAGUGCUGUAAACACGGGUGGCAUAUGGAGCCAGCCAGACAUCCUGACUACCAGUUCAGAGCAACAGAAGCUUCAGAAGGGAGGGGAAAGGGAGAAGGAAGACAGGAUGAUGUUAGCAAAGGUGAAACAGCAUUUCAGGAACAGUAUCAUGACCCCUUCUGACCCCUCCCUCCAUGCAGGUUUUCUUACCUUGACUAUGCAGAGGGCAGCCCAUCUUGGGACUGAAGGCUGGACCCCCUCUUCCAAGGUCUGGGGCGAUCCCAUGCCUGCGACUGAGUGUGCUCAGAUCCUUGGGGUGGGAGGGCUUUGAGGGGCAUGGGCUAUCCUGGCUGGGAGAGCACUGGGUCAGGAGGAUUUGAGUGGAGGGUUUGGGCACUGGGAACCAGGAAGAGCGGGGGAAGGGGCAGAGCUCACUCCAGAGGCGGAUCUGCUGGCCAGGACAGAGGACAGAGGGUGUAUUGUCCAACCGGGAGGUUGCUGCAGCUGGGUGUGGAGCAGCACAGCUCGCCUCUUCCAAACUCCUUUCUGGGGAGGCGGGAGGGUGAGGGAAGUCGAGUCCCCCCCCUUCACUUGUGGCCCUGGGGGCUAUGACGGUUGCCAGGAAACAAGGUUUUAUUUGAGAAAUAAUGCUUCCCAGGAGCAGAUGUGUAGCUCUCCCACUUCCUGAGAAACCAGAUGCUGUGAGCUUGCUUAGCACUUUAGGGGACGCCUUUGGCACUAACUGGGACCCUCAUUGCCUUGGGAUCCAGAGCCUGGUGCUUUAUUCUGUUUAGAAGAAUCUAAGCUACGUGGACUUAACUCAGGAUCCGAGCAGCCUAGAAGUGACCCUUGUAAAGUCGGAUGCUAUACCUGUACCCUUCUGGUCAUUCAAGAUUUACGGCAGGUUGACAGGGCGCACCGGUCCUGGGAUCUACUUCUGAAGAUGGGGGUUGUACCAGCGCCUACCUUUCCCUUGGAUUUCAAGUACCCUCUUGGGACACAGUACAGGGAGCUCCUUCUUUACCCUUCCUGUGCCCAACCAACAUGAAUCUCUCUGAAGUUAGCCUUUCCCACUCGUAUUCUUUUAUUUUUUGAGGUGGGGAGAGGAGGGAGAGCGCGUGCCAGCUGGGGAGGGGCAGACAGAGGAGAGAAUCCCAAGCAGGCUCUGUGCUCCACCCCACAAACCAUGAGAUCAUGACCUGAGCCGAAAGCCGGACUGGGCCACCCAGGCGCCCCUAGUCUCCUUUCCAUCGUCAUUUACCCAGCCUCUGGCGAGUGGCUGGAAAUGAGGGCUUGGAGAAAGUGGCAGACCGAUGCGGGCAGUGGAGGUGGGUUCCACAGGCAGCCUGGGCAGCGGCCUGUUUCCUUCCCACCUAAAAGCUUCCUUUCCCACACGGAAAGCUGAGGCAGCACAGCAUGCUGAGCCUCUUACCCCUCCACAUCUGAAGAGAUCAGUGCACCGUCAAGAACCACAACUGCAGUUGCUGCGAUGGGCCUAGGAAAGCCACUUGUGUAGCUGGGCUCCCGUGCCAGCACCCCCCCCCCCCCCCCAAUCUUCCCCCAAAUUGUUGACUGAGCUUUCCUGGGCUUUCUCUGCUUCACCCCAUUGUGACCUUAAGGAUUCUCUGCCACGGUCCUAACCUCUUUCCUGCCUUGCAACACGGAACAGCCCAUCUCUAGCCAUUUGGAAACUUCCCACCGCAUCUGGGGCCUCCGUUGUAACCCAGACCAGCUCAUCAACAAGAACCCAGCCUGCCUGUGCCAUGUAGCACGGAAUGUGGAGGCAGUGCCUCUGCAGACUGCUGAGUGGAGGGUGGAGGCACGGCCUCCAGGCCAUGAAGUAGGAAAUGGACUGCAGGUACUUUCAAAUAUUAAAGGUUACCACCAGGCCAAAAUGCUGGAGGGGAGUGGAUGCUAAUUCCCAGUUCUUGGGCCUCAGUAAAGAUUCCCCUGGUAACCCCACCCCUAGCCCAGGACAGUCUCUAAUGCCCAGAGGACUUCAGAGACAGGGGUGGGGAGCCUGUAAAGGCACAGGAGUGGAGUAUAUGGUCAAAAGAAUUUCAGCAUUGAAGUGAACUUUAAAGAUCAGAUUUAUUUGGAGAAAACAAACAAAAAAAACCCCACAACCCAAAGGAUGGGAUUUUACAUCUCAAGACAUCUCCCAGGUAUUAAGUCUACAGAUUACAAAUCAUUUUCAUAGAAGAUAUUUUGUACAAAUUUUACACGUAUUAAGGAGCGGGACAUAACCCGUUUCUGUUAUAACGGGGGCAGGAGAGGGGAAUGGGAAAAAAAAAAAGUUUUGGAGACAACUAUUUGGAAGUAGACUUGUAGAGGGCAAACCCUACCUUUUCAUCAUCUACAGCAAAUGGUUUGUUUUUUUCAACCAAAAAAAAAAACCCGAAAAACAAAAAAACCCCAACCAAACAAACCCCUUUCAGCCUUGGGUAUCUCUAAAAGCCACUUCCCGGCUACUGGCCAAUCCAAGCCAAUUAUUUAGUUACUUCACUUGGUAAGCCUCUCUAUGUCCACUGGCUAAACGAUUCAUUCAUUAUGCCCACUGCUGCAGCACUCCUAAACCAACAGGUCUGCGUGGCCAGACAGGGUCUAAUCUAGGACCGAUGGGUGAAGGGCUUGUGAACGAGAGACUGAGAUCACCCCGAAGGAUGCCGUCUACCGGGCUGACGGUACAAAGGUGCACGUAAAAGCAGGCAAGUUAAGCUAUUGUGUUGCAAGAGAAACCAGGACCUUGUCACACAGUUCUCUCCAUUAUCAUUUAUUCUCUCAAGGGAAGCUAAAAAAACAAAAAAACAACAAAGAAACACAAACCCACCAAAGAACCACACAUUGGUUGAGGCCACAUUAUCAAUCCAAACAUUGGUGUGGGAUUUCAAUGGAGAGAAGGAAACUUGUAAAAACAAAAAAAGCCCCAAUCAAGGUCAUAAGAACGGCUCACAAUUUGACCCUAUUUAUCCACCCUCACUCACCACCUAAGACCAUUAAUUCUAUAAUCUUCUGAGGUGUAAAAGGAGUCAAAGAAGUAGGAGCAGGAAUGGAGGAGGGAAGGAGUGAGAGUCAAAAGACAUGAAGGAGCCAAGAUUUGCUUGAGAAAAGCAGUGAUUCCUCAUUAGCUUCUGCUCCCUGGGGCGGGUCUAGAAUGCCUAGAUCAGGUAUGUGAUUUAAAUAGAAGCUGCUUUCUGGGAGGUGACAGCAAAAAGUAGCAUUAAGAUCAGAAGCCCAGGACAAGAGUCUACAUUUUUAAAGCUUCAAGAUUUCAGCAGAAUGUAGAUGGAUGUGAACUUUCAGGAAGGAUGGCGUUUAAGGAAGGGCAAAACCAGGACAUACAAGACUUGGGAAUUCCCAUGACCCAUAAGUGCUUCCUGCUCCAGGAAGUAACCACUUGGUGUUUACUGAAGGUCAUACCAUUUCCCCUUAUUACUGGUGCAAAAUAAUCCAUCACCUCCCCGCAGCUUCUUUUCAAACCACAACUUUUCCCACUUAUUUUGGUCACUGAGCAGUCCUUAUUCUUUUGUGGCCUAUAGACUCACUCUCCACUACCCCCCUGGGGGGUAAAAAUGAAGGAAUUCCCCCUAGGCUGGCCCCAGUAACUCAGAAUUAAGAGGGGCUGGCAGCCUCCUGGAGACUAAAAAACAACUUGAGAGACUAAGCCUACCUUUCCGAGGAUGGAAAAUUUAUUCAGGUAAUGUUUGAGAAUUCAUAUGUGCCACAAUAGGAUAUUAAGAAUGAAAAGAUAGAACUCUCACUCUUCCUUAAACCUGUCCUACUGCCCAACCAGAUCCAGACACUGCAUCACUGUCACUGCCAUUUUGCUAAACGGAGGCCCCCAGGCACUAAUCACACAGGCAACUGCAUGUGUCGUAAAAAUGCACAACUUUUCCAUUAAAAGCUGUACGUCUCUUUCUCUCUGGCUACAUUGGCGAUUCUCCAGUUAGUUCAAUACUUUAAAGGCUGCAGCAGCAUGCAAAAGAAUUUCAUUUCAUUUUGUUUUUUUGUUUUUUGUUUUUUUAAAAAAAAGUUAAGAAAGGUCUCCAGGAGAUGGUGAGUUUUAUUGUCUGGAUAGAGGUUUGAUUUGCUCUCGAAUGUUCCAGGGUGGAGAGACUAGGAGAAAGCACAGGAUGCAGAGGUCUAUUCGGUGUAAUCUUCUCCCUCGUUCUCAUCUUCGCCAUCAACGGAGAGAGCAGCAUACUUGCUUGCAGAACUGAACUUCUGGAAUAGACGAGUGAGAAAAUCACCAAAGCCUUGAACUCGCACAUCAAAACCCAAGAAACAGGACAAUGAUACUUGGGCAAAAGCAAAAGGGAGGGGCCAGGUCAAGCCCACCUCCUUGUUCAUUAGCAUUUUACACUGGCCAGGAGUAGCUAGGGAGGCUAGGCCAGAGGCCCAGGUGUUCUUACAGGAGACCUCCACCUCCUUUUAUCUUGGAGGGGGAGUAAGAGUAGUGAGACUGCAAGGCAGAAAACUGGAAAAAACUAAGUUUCUUUUACAAUUUCAAACAAGCAACGAUGCCUGAUUGACAAUUUCCAACCACUCGGAUUCCAGCCCCAAGCAUAAAGGAGUUCAAUGGCAAACGUGAGCUGAGAGAAAUCCAUUAGCAUCUAACACUUACGGAAGCUGGAUUUUCUUCAGGUUUCUUUGGCUCAGGUGCAGAUCGGGAG